RNAcentral lists this long non-coding RNA (636 nucleotides) under Ananas comosus (pineapple). RNAcentral describes it as "long non-coding RNA (ACOM_LNC032423)". The record is from RNAcentral. Lineage: Eukaryota; Viridiplantae; Streptophyta; Magnoliopsida; Poales; Bromeliaceae.
UGAGAGAGAGAGAGAUUUUAAUUUUAAUUUUUAAUUUUAAUUUUUAAAAUUUUAAAAUUUUAAAAUUUAAAUUUAUAAUUUAAAAUUAUAAAUUUUAAAGUUUAAAUUUCAAAUUUGAUAUUUCUAAAUUUUAAAUUUUAAAUUUGAUAUUUUUAGUUUUUAAAUUUAAAAUUUGCUAUUUUAUAUCUUUAAAAUUUAAAUUUGGUCUUAAAUUUGAAUUUUGAUAUUUAAAAUUAUAAUUUCAAAUUUUAAAAUUUAAAAGUUAAAAUUUUCAAUUUCCAAUUUUAAAUUAUAAGUUGAAAAUUUAAAAAAUUUAAAUUCAAUUAUAGGGAUAAUAUCAUUAUUUUAUAUUUAUAACUAACAACUAUUCCUCUUAUUCCCAAUAACCAUCCAAACUUAAUUUUUCUAGUUCCAGCUUAUACUCACAUUUUCAUCCAAAUAAAAAAAUACCCUUGUUCUUAUAAAAAUUCAUACUUAUACCUAUACCUAGUAUAACUAGUUCCUACUAAUUUUUGAACCAAAUGGAGCUUUAUAUUUUAAUUUUUUUUUAAUAUAUAUCUUUAUAAAUGUUAAAGAAAUUGUGAUUAGCCUCAACAAUCCUACAACAUCAAUCAUCUCACUCAAUAGUAUUAAAAU